This 406-nucleotide unclassified non-coding RNA is filed under the name Micromyrtus elobata. RNAcentral describes it as "partial external transcribed spacer". Lineage: Eukaryota; Viridiplantae; Streptophyta; Magnoliopsida; Myrtales; Myrtaceae. The record is from RNAcentral.
ACCGAACUGCUUUCCCCACUUUCUAUCAGAGCAUCGCUCCACGACUUGAUCGUCGGACGCAAAGUGACGGGUUCCUGUGCAGCGUACCUAUCGUGAUGGAAAUUUGUUCCUUUGGUGGUGCCUUUCAUCCCGGYGUCCCCUUGGACGCUACGGUUGAACUAGAUGGCGGGGCUCGUGCUCCACGGGCAUCUCACGAGAUCGGCCCCGAUGGAACUCGAGCGCUUUGCUUGUCCUCUCGGAUGCGGAAUGUGCCUCGCGGGCGUGGGUCAUCGGCCCUCGGUACCGAAUGUUGAAGCGUUCGAUCGCUGUCCCAACGGAACGACGCUCUCGCCUUGUCCUUGACCACGUGGAGCCCUCGGGCUCGUAUCACUGUGGAUCAUGCUCGGCGGACGUCUUGAAGGAAUGC